Molecule: ribosomal RNA, 425 nt
Filed under: Olsenella profusa
Lineage: Bacteria; Bacillati; Actinomycetota; Coriobacteriia; Coriobacteriales; Atopobiaceae
Description: bacterial SSU rRNA
Rfam family: Bacterial small subunit ribosomal RNA
Source: RNAcentral
GAUGAACGCUGGCGGCGCGCCUAACACAUGCAAGUCGAACGGUUAAAGCAUCUUCGGAUGUGCAUAAAGUGGCGAACGGCUGAGUAACACGUGGGCAACCUGCCCCUCGCAUCGGGACAGCCUCGGGAAACCGUGGUUAAUACCGGAUACUCCGCCACCCCCGCAUGGGGGAGGCGGGAAAGCCCAGACGGCGAGGGAUGGGCCCGCGGCCUGUUAGCUUGUUGGUGGGGCAGUGGCCCACCAAGGCGAUGAUGGGUAGCCGGGUUGAGAGACCGACCGGCCAGAUUGGGACUGAGACACGGCCCAGACUCCUACGGGAGGCAGCAGUGGGGAAUCUUGCACAAUGGGCGAAAGCCUGAUGCAGCGACGCCGCGUGCGGGACGAAAGGCCCUUCGGGUCGUAAAACCCGCUUUUCAAGCAAGGGA